UGCGAAGCCCUUUCGACGAGUCGAGUUGUUUGGGAAUGCAGCUCCAAAUGGGUGGUAAACUUCAUCUAAAGCUAAAUAUCUGCUGGAGACCGAUAGCGAACAAGUAGGGUGACCGAAAGAUGAAAAGAACUUUGAAAAGAGAGUGAAACAGUACGUGAAAUUGUUGAAAGGGAAGCGCUUGCAACCAGACUCGUUCAGCCGCUCUUUGCGGUGUACUCCCCGCCGGGCCAGCAUCGGUUCGGACGGCCGGACAAAGGGAACGUAGCUAGUGUUAGCCCCGGGCGUCAUGCGGCCCGUCCGGACCGAGGAUUAGGAUGCUGGCGUAAUGGUUGCCAGCGACCCGUCUUGAAACACGGACCAAGGAGUUGACCAACCGGGCGAGUAUUUGGGCGAAACCAUGCGCAAUGAAAGUGAACGUGGUGGGAGCCGCACCAUCGACCGAUCUUGUUCGGAUGGAUUUGAGUACGAGACCGGUUGGUCUGACCCGAAAGGAUAGGGUGAAGCCAGAGGAAACUCUGGUGGAGGCUCGCAGCGGUUCUGACGUGCAAAUCGAUCGUCAAAUCUGCGCAUAGGGGCGAAAGACUAAUCGAACCGUCUAGUAGCUGGUUCCUGCCGAAGUUUCCCUCAGGAUAGCAGCAACUCUCAU
Molecule: ribosomal RNA, 646 nt
Filed under: Austrotrema myriocarpum
Lineage: Eukaryota; Fungi; Ascomycota; Lecanoromycetes; Ostropales; Graphidaceae
Description: eukaryotic LSU rRNA
Rfam family: Eukaryotic large subunit ribosomal RNA
Source: RNAcentral